AUCCAGCUGACGAAUCCCAAAUAGGACGAAACACGCGUCAAACCGAAU
Non-coding RNA from Schistosoma margrebowiei, 48 nucleotides. NCBI's taxonomy places the organism in Eukaryota, Metazoa, Platyhelminthes, Trematoda, Strigeidida, Schistosomatidae. The record is from Rfam.